Molecule: unclassified non-coding RNA, 340 nt
Filed under: soil metagenome
Description: partial contains 5.8S ribosomal RNA, internal transcribed spacer 2, and large subunit ribosomal RNA
Rfam family: 5.8S ribosomal RNA (bases 1-120)
Source: RNAcentral
GAUGAAGAACGUAGCGAAAUGCGAUAAGUAGUGUGAAUUGCAGAAUUCAGUGAAUCAUCGAAUCUUUGAACGCACAUUGCGCCCUUUGGUAUUCCAAAGGGCAUGCCUGUUCGAGCGUCAUUUGUACCCUCAAGCUCUGCUUGGUGUUGGGCGUCUUGUCUCCAGUUUCGCUGGAGACUCGCCUUAAAGUCAUUGGCAGCCGGCCUACUGGUUUCGGAGCGCAGCACAAGUCGCGCUCUCGUCCAGCCAAGGUCAGCAAUCCACAAAGCCUUUUUUCAACUUUUGACCUCGGAUCAGGUAGGGAUACCCGCUGAACUUAAGCAUAUCAAUAAGCGGAGGA